GACGAACGCUGGCGGCGUGCUUAACACAUGCAAGUCGAACGGAAAGGCCCUGCAUUUGUGGGGUGCUCGAGUGGCGAACGGGUGAGUAACACGUGAGUAACCUGCCCCUGACUUUGGGAUAACUUCAGGAAACUGGGGCUAAUACCGGAUAGGAGCUCCUGCAGCACGGUGGGGGUUGGAAAGUUUCGGCGGUUGGGUAUGGACGCGAGGCUUAUCAGCUUGUUGGUGGGGUAGUGGCUUACCAAGGCGUCGACGGGUAGCCGGCCUGGGAGGGUGACCGGCCACAUUGGGACUGGGGUACGGCCCAGACGCCUACGGGAGGCAGCAGUGAGGAAUAGUGCACGAUGGGCGGAAGCCUGAUGCAGCAACGCCGCGUGCGAGAUGACGGCCGUCGGGGUGUAAACCGCGUGCGCCUGUGACGAAGCGUGAGUGACGGUAAUGGGUAAAGAAGCACCGGCUAACUACGUG
RNAcentral lists this ribosomal RNA (468 nucleotides) under uncultured bacterium. Its description in RNAcentral is "partial 16S ribosomal RNA". It matches the Rfam family "Bacterial small subunit ribosomal RNA", at positions 28 to 507 of the family's 1533-position model. The record is from RNAcentral.